This 208-nucleotide ribosomal RNA is filed under the name uncultured eukaryote. RNAcentral describes it as "partial 18S ribosomal RNA". It matches the Rfam family "Eukaryotic small subunit ribosomal RNA", at positions 604 to 819 of the family's 1831-position model. The record is from RNAcentral.
UUAAAGUUGUUGCAGUUAAAAAGCUCGUAGUUGAACCUUGGGUCUGGCUGGCCGGUCCGCCUCACCGCGAGUACUGGUCCGGCUGGACCUUUCCUUCUGGGGAAUCCCAUGGCCUUCACUGGCUGUGGGUGGAACCAGGACUUUUACUGUGAAAAAAUUAGAGUGUUCAAAGCAGGCCUUUGCUCGGAUACAUUAGCAUGGAAUAAUA